UUCGCCAGAAUCACCACUCAACAGUGUAAAUUUGCUCAAAAAGUUAUUAUAAAAAGUUUCUGCUGGUUCGAUUAAAAAUGGAAACUAGUCCAGACGGUAAAGCACAAAAGGUUAAUUACUAUUUCAUCAAUUAUAAAACCUUUGUGAACGUCAUCAAGUACAAGCUCGAUCAUAUGCGGAAGCGUAUGGAAACCGAGGAACGUGAUGCCACUAGUGCAAGUUUCAAGUGUCCUUCCUGCGAUAAGACUUUUACCGAUCUGGAGGCAGACCAGUUGUUCGAUUUUGCAUCCGGCGAAUUUCGCUGUACAUAUUGUGGCAGUACUGUGGAGGAAGACAGUUCAGCACUACCGAAAAAAGAUUCACGCUUACUGUUUGUUUCGGGAUGUACAAAUCAAACACGCGCGUCGGUUAUGCUAUUAAUCUUAUGGGAUUUUCGAUUGAUUGACACCGGUGUAGUGGAUUUCUCUGAUAUACUGCUACACCCAAUCCAUGGCAACUGGCAUCGCAUUCUAUGAUCAGCGGCUCGGUUCGGUCAUAGUAUUGCAAAGCGGAGUGCUCAGAAAUAGCUUGUUUUACGUCGUUGAAUUCGUUCUCUUCCUCAGGUGUCCAUCGGCACGGAGCAUCAUCCGGAAUAAGCUUUCGCAAUACUACCAGCUUACUACUUAAAUUUGGAAUAUAUCUCGCAAGGUAGUUGAUCAUACUUACAAAUCGGUGAACUUCUUUAGGCGAUGUUGGUACAGGAUAUUUUUGUAUUGCUUCUACUUUCCUUCCAUCAGGUUUCAGCCCUUCGUAGGUAAGGACAUGACCAAAGAAGUUGACAGACGUUUGACAUAAGUUAAGCGUUUCAAUAUUAAGUUUCACUCCGUUAUUCCGAAGGCGCACAAGUAGUUUCACUAGUCGUUGAUUAUGGACUUUCAGGGCCUCCUCAAUAGUAUCCCCUGCUCCGACUAUUAAAAUGUCGUCUGCCAAACACUCAAUGCUCUCCAGUCCUUCAAGUGUUUCUUGUAGUUUUGCUUGGAAUAUUUCCGGCUGAAGAAAUACCAAAAGGCAUUCUGAGCCACCGGUAGCGCCCAAAUGGAGUCCAAAAGGUAGUGAGCUUACUACUGGCCUCGUCCAAUUCAACUUGCCAGAACCUCUUCUUUGCAUCGACCGUUGAAAAUAUCACUGCUCUGCCAAGUUCAGGCAAUAUUUCAUCCAGUGUUGUAAACUGGAGAUUCGGACGCUUAAGGGCCAUAUUCAAAGGAAUGGGAUCUUGACACAAACGAAGAGAAUCCAACCCAGGGGAGUUUUUCUUUACCAAAACCAAAUUACCCAGUCGGUGUGUUGUGUCUCCUUUUGAAUGAUGCCAUCCUGAACAAGCUGAUCAAUCUUAUUUUGAAGAUUAUCCCUGAAAGCAAUUGGGAUGCGACGGGGUGUUUGAAUCACUGGCUUCACUGCUUCAUCGAUUUCCAACUUGACAGCACCUUCCAUUUUUCCGUUGCCUGGUAAGUCCGUAUGAUACAUUUGGCUUCUUCUCGGUAUUGAUCCAACACUUGCAAUGUAGCUAUGUCUCGGUGAACGGAGUUGCAAAAUUUCACCAGACCCAAAGUGGUACAGACAGUAAUCGACAGCAACGGCGGGUGAUUCAUGUUCACUACCUGGAACACCAUCCUAUAUCGCUUACCUUUAUGAUGGCAAGGAACUUCAAUUUUACCCAAGACCUCGAUCGGGGUACCGUUAAAGGCUCGCAAACGACAUCUUGAAGCACUUAAUGCCGGUUUAGCCUGUCCAGACAACUUUUUCAACCAGUCCAUUCCAAUAAUACUGGCCAAGGCACCGGUAUCUAAUUCACAACUAACAUUUUUCUACACGCUUCCAAACUUUAGCGACAGAUCAGCCAAGACAGCGCCACCAGUGCCAGACUUAUCCACAAUUUUUCCAAUAAGUGUUUCUUCCUCUUCUUGAAUCCAAAUCUCUUGUUCUUCAUCUUCAGCCGAUGCAUGGUUAUUUCUUGCCUCCGAUGUUGCAACUGCUUUUACGUUUCUGCCUCCUUUCAUUCUUCCAGUCGAUCCAUCCGAUUUGCAAACUCUUUGGAAAUGAUUUUUUCCGCCACACUUAUCACAACGUUUUCCAAAGGCUGGACAUGCUCCACGUUUGAAAGGAUGACGUCCACCGCAAAACUUGCAAAUUUGAGCAGUGGCUUUAUUGACUUCCAUAAGCGGUUCCAAAGACAGUUGUUUUGAAUGACGUGCGGUAAUUUCUUUCAUUCUACAAAGGUCGAUGGCUUUUGACAGAUUGAUGUCGGGCAUUGUAAGCAUUUUUGUUUUCAAAUUAGACCACUUGUUCGAUGUAACUAUCUUGAACACCAUCAUAUCCUGCUCCAACGCUCCGAAUCGACACGGUUUUCCCAACACUUUCAAACGGCUCACAUAUUCAUCGAUGGAUUCUGUUUGUAUCUGGAUCGCUGAGAAAAAAUCCAGGCGAUCAACAAUGAUGUUUCGAACGGGUACUACCUUCGCUCUGAUAGCUUCCAACACAGUCUCGGGAGAUACUUUCUGUGACUCGUUGAGUUCAAAAUUGAAGUACCGCUUCAGAGCAUCUGUUCCAACAACCGACAAUAAGAAACUGACUUUCUUCUUAUUUUCACUUUCGGGCCAGUCAUUCAUGCCAACAGCAACUGCGUAAUUUUUCCAAUUGGAUUCGAAGAAAGAAUAAUUUUCCUCCAUAUUUCCUUCCAAACAGAGUGGUGGAGGGAGCGGAACGGAUUGUGAGGUUAUGUGUGAUGGUGUCGCUUGAUUCGGAAUGGUGAUCUGGAAAUUUCCCAUUCUCUCUGCCCAGUAUGCAAAAAUUUGAUUCUGUUGCUUAAGCAACUGCGCAACUUCCUCCGCCAUUUUGAUGAGGCCUCUCGCACUUCACUUUCGACCGUGAUAUUCAACACGACCACAGACUAACAGACAUAACACUCAAAAACAAAGCUUCGCCCGCUUUAACGGUCAUUUUAAAUAUAUUUGUAGUUGGGACUGUGGAAGCAUUUGAAAUUAUGGCGCCACUGACAUGAACAAGCAUAUGGGGGAUAGACCACUAGUGAAAAAUUGUUCCCAAACCUGAGGGGUAACCCACCAGUAAAUGAGUGAUUGGGACUGUGAAUAAAAGUUGAAGCUAGUGUUCUGGGAAAAUUGUCGGAUCGAUGUUUUUUGAGGGAAUUCCCUCAUAGUGUUAUGUCUGUUAGUCUGUGAUUAUACCGUCCGUGAACCACGACGGAACUACGAAAACUCGAACGACCGAUCAAUCACACAAUCCAAAACAUACAAAAACAGUAUAUUUGCAAAAGAUUCCACUUCUGACACCAUGUUUCGGGAUGUUCAAAUCAAACGCGCGUUCGGUUAUGCUAUUAAUCUUGUACUCUUUUUUAUUUAUUUGAGGGGUCCACCAAUCACAUCACUGAUUACAACUGAUGUAAAGGUUUAUGGAAGUGCAGUUACAAUAUGAUUACAACACUGUGAAGGCGACGGUUUCGUCCGACCGGCCGGGACAACAACGGCCGUGUUCUCCUUUGUCGUUGGCUGCUCCGGCAGCGGUCCAUAACAAUUAGCCAGGGAGGUGAGAUUUGCUCCUUUGCUAAGAGGUAUUGCCAAACAAUGCAACGAAUGAUGCCAUCAAGGGGCUAGGUCUCAACAACGAGCCAAGUAGUGAUAGUAGUGACGAUGAGAAGGAUAUUGACAAUACAGAGAUUCCCACUGUUGAAAUUAUGGAUACCGAUUCGGAUGACGAUAUGCCGAUGACAGUGGCGUAGCCAGAAAUUUGGUUUGGAGGGGGUUUUGACGAAAAUCUUAGAUUUUUCAAAAAUGUUGGCGGGUCUUUUGAUGACAUAUAAUCUGUAGGCCGCGAUCGACUGGGUACUACCGUGUUCUGCAGUAAUAGCGAAAUGGGAUGGUGUCAGCGGGCAUGGGCGCAAUAACCCUACCGUAGGCAGAACUAAAUACCUGUCGCAGGUGUCAGUUAUGUUGGGUGGCGGACUACGAGACAGGUUAGAUCAAGUUCAACGAGUGGCCCAAAAACACCACUUUACUAACGAUCAAGGAGAAAAGGAUGCGCUGAAAACUCGCAAUUUCGAAACCGUAGCAUUGGAGGAGCUUUCUAGACGGGGCACAAGGUGUGGAAAUGCGGGAAUCGAGCGACGGCACAAGAGGCAGGCGAUCAGCGAAAGGAUGUGUGUAGUGUGGAUCAAAGGCCAUUUCUUCGAUUAGAGCCGCGAAAGAUGCAUUUUAUGCGCAGCUGGAGCAUGUCUAUGAUAGCUGCCUAUGGCGGAAUGUUAAGUUCGUCGUCGGUGACAUAAACAUGCUGAUUGGCCGGGGGCAUUGUGUAAACCCGUUAUCGCACAGAAUACACCUUAUAAAUAUUGUGCAGAAAUUUUCACUAUUGAUAAGUAUAUUAUGACGAAACCUAAAUAGCGAAGCAGUAGACGAAAAGAGUAUUGCAAGAAUCGGCUUGGAGACACGCUCAGUCGACGAUAAAAUUCCGGAUCUACCUAAGAUUCAUGAAAAAAUAGGAUGGUUGAACCACUGGCAAUGAUCAACGGUCAUGUGAGCUACUCAAACACAGAGCAGAUGAAUUGGCUGGAGCACUCCAAUGUGUGCUUUUGAAGAUCUGGAAGGAGAUUUUACCGAAGUAUAGGACGUAGAGAGUAGUAUGUCCCAUCUAUAAAAAUGGUGUUAAGCGGGAUUUUUGCAACUAAUUACCGAUUAAUCACUUUACUCAGCUGCCCUUGUAUGCAAAGGUAACGUAAAUGCCAUCGAGUAUAUUUUUCAGAAAAUCAGUUUUCAAAGCAUGCAUGGUACGAGUAAAAGCAUGCUUUCGCCACUUUGCUUUUCGUAUUUCAACAGGUUAUUUUUAAUUUUUAUUUGAAGUCGUUUGAACUGAAAGAUGCGAAUUUUUGUAGUGAACUUGAAAAUACGAAAAAGUUAAAUUUGGCGUUGAAGUCACUCCCAAAUUCUUUUUUGCCGCAUAUAACCGUUAGUAAGGAAAUUCGUAGUGCAAUAUGCAUUCAUAUCUUCAACCAAGCUAUUUGCAAUAACAUUCUUGAAAACUUUGCUGAAGACACUAAGUCUUGAACUAAAUUUGAUUGGAAUUAGUAAUGCAUCCAACUGGAAAAACUAAUCAACAAAAUUAUGCUGCUCAUUACUAAACCACCAAAAGCUGAUAGUUUCCAAAUUAGGGAAUCUUGGCGCCAUUCAAUUCGAUACCCAAAUGUACACCAUAAAUAGCGAAAAACGUGAAAAAAUAUUUAUUACCAAUCUUAGCUAGUGGCACUUUAUAUAAGUGAUAACCCCAAAAAAUCAAAUGCGCAUAUAAACCGAUUCUGACCUGUUAGAGACAAGCGUAAAACGCCAUUUUUCAUUAGUUUCUAUGUAUGCGUUUUCAUUGAGAUAUUUUGGUGGAUAUUUACAUGAUUUAUCAACUAUAGGAUCCUUACUAAAAUAUUAGUUACAAGAUCCCAUCCUCCCAAUUUACAAAAAGUCCCCAUAACGUUUAAAACAUUAGGUUCUCAAUGUAAUGAACUGAUAAUAAACUUCCAAAAUUAUUUGAAUAUUUAAUAAACUAGUCAGCAUCAAGCUUUUUUUUUUCUUGAAUUCAAAUAUUUUGGUUUGGAGGGGGUUUUAACCCCCAAAACCCGCCCUUGGCUACGUCACUGGCCAAUGAUAACGGUGGCGGGUAGACCACAGCCACUGGAUUAGAUCAAUGACACGCUGAUAGCGGAAAUGACUCCACAGGAGAAAGAAACCUACAUUCAGGUGUAUCAAGAUCAUUUCAGUCAUAUGUAUGAUUAGAUGGAACGACGAAAAGUAAGUGGCAUUAAAAAGUUGAAUUUUAAAUGCGGCCGUACACACUUUAUUCUGAGAAACUCCUGGAAAUGGUACGCAUGUUACGUAAGAUAUGAACGUAUAUCCGUGAACUAUUUAUUGUUAUUGUUAUUGGGCUGAAAAUUAUUUUCAAGUCUUUCGUAACUGAUCCUGAUUCCUGCAGGAGAUAAGAAAAAAACGCUACAAUUCCAAGCUACCGAAGAGAUAGUUGUUGAUUGCCAAGAGAGAUUAAAGCUGCAUGUGCAUUUAGUUUGAUAAAUAAACAAAAAAUUAUAGUUUCUCAGUAUUUAACAUAAACGUAAAUAAACACAAAGAAUGCAAGCACUUCUAACUACUCGUAUUCGUAUUUUAUUCAUACCCGUUCGAAUAUUUUUAUCGCUGCACGGCAGCCAAACUAUCACGUUGGUAAGCACUUGGUAGAAAGACGCCUGUUCGACUCCCUCAUCCUACUUACUUACUUAUCGUCCCGGCAUUUGGUGAUGACCGCAAGCAGCUCCUAACCCUUGCAAUUUAGACCUUCAAAUUCCGAUUCGACGGCCACCGUGCAGGUCAUGGUCGCUUCAUUGCUUAGCAGAAAGCGGCCGAUACCCAGCUCGAAUCCGGAACGUUCCACAGCGGAAGCAAAGCGGUCCGGUUGGCCCGAUGUUGGCACAUUACUCGAUCGAAUUCGGCUUUGUAAAUCUUAACCUGGUACCCAGAUCUUAACCUGCUCCCACAUGUGCUUGAUGGUACGACCCAUCUUGGUGUGACCUGUGUGUUCGGCGGGGAAAUACAUGCUGUUAAUGACGGUUAUCGGUCAAUGUGGCUCGCAAUAUCAACCUCAAAUUGUGUUUAACGAGACCAGCAUAAUGCCUCCCUGCUUCCUUCGCCAAUGCCUCCGCAUUCCUUAACCUUCAAAUGUACAAUGUCUCCUUCAUUCCUUCACCUUCAAGUGUUUUACGCACAAUCGAAUGCCCUUAGUUAAGAAGAAGUAUAAAUUCACGCGCCGACCAAAGCAUUCAUUUCAACGAACAUAAUCGUUGAGGAAUCGGUAUUUAAAUAACUUAUCAUCUACCGAAUGCCACUGACGGCCAGUGUAAUUAUAUGAUUGAUUGUUUAUGAUUCUAGGGAAACCCAACCAUUCCGGGUGACCUAAAUCGUUACCUAUAAAGUUCAGGUAAGCUUCACCCGAGGCUUCAUCACCCACUGAAUCAAUGGGAAGACUUAUCCCGCAAUCGAUGAUCAUGUUCGGUUCUGAAGUUACCGACAUAUGUGGAUAUUUAUCCUUAUCCAUAGGCCAGUAAUUGUUUAAUCACCCACCAAUGUUUGAUAGUGUGAUUCAGCAUAUGUCAGUGACAUCGUGUUUUCCAUCUAGCGGCGAUUGGUCGACAUUUCAAAGCUUCGAUGUCAACAUUCAAAUUACCGGAGAACCCUUCGUUGAUAUCACGAGAGUGGUACAACAUUGAGUUUUACUCGUCAUGCCGCGAGCGAAGGACCUCAUAUCUGUUAUUAUUUGUUAUUGUUAUUUAUCAGUGUGCAAUCGGGCUGUCUCUACAACCUAUUUCUGCAACCUAUGUGCAUUAACUGUACACCUACCGUCUAUCCGUUGCACUUGACAGUGUGUGCAGUGCUUUAUGGUCACACCUACGACCGUGCACCCGGCUUCCCAUGAGCGUUUUGACGGCUCAGAGGUGUCCUUCCAUGUUGCUCAGGGAUACAUUGGUCCUAUACACAUCCAUGCAUACAGGCAUACAUAUGGGCUUACAUUCAUACAUACAUACAAACUAUUUGGUGCAAGUUUAGAGCGUUCAACGUCGUGUCAUCUAGUCUGUCAUCCUAUGGAAAAUCAUCCUACCAUCGCCUUGAGGUCAACGUCAUAUUGGCAAAUUUCGCAUUGAAUCCGCUUCUAUCUCUUCCUAAUCUCCUUUUUGUCUCCUAGGUCCGAAGCGGAUCAAUCGACUAUUAAUUGAAACGGUAAACAUACUAGCAGUAUUAUUAGUCCUUACUCGCGAAUACUUUUCCUACAACUGUGCUGUUUCUUCUCUAUCUUAUAACAUAACUCGAUUAUCCCUGUUCUAGUCAAUAUACAUAUUCAUUACAUUAUGGACCAGGCAAACCCUUAAUUUUUCUAUUAUUAUUAUCCUGAGUAGCUAUACCAGUGAAGGUAUUUUAGGAUUUCGUUAAAAAGAAUCUCUGCCAAUAAAGGCGCAAGCAAUAUUUAUCCACAUAAAGUUUGCUCGAACCGAAUGUUUCCCCCACCCAAGCGAAUUGAUCAACUUGCAAGUAGGAGCACAUAUCUACCAACCAGCCAAGAAGACUUUCGAAUCAAUGAGAAUGGACCAUGCCAGUCGAAGGCCACAGGCCCAGCGCCAUCUCGUUCAGUGUCAUUGUCAUUUCUCAGUCCACCCCCUGGCAGACGUUCAUCCGCCCAUCUAGACUCUGUCAAGAUGAGAACCUACAAAGCCUAACUGUUCGUAUGUGCUAGUCCGUAUAGAUUUUGGUUUGCUGAAACGAAACAAGAAAAGCAAAAUAAUUGUGAUUAGUAUCGUAGUUAUAAUAAAUAAGUAAACGAUUUCUCCUCUGUUGUCCGUUCCCUUGUUCGUAGUCCUCCCUCCUGUUCCUGAUCUGUUUGGGCUACUGGCUUUCCGUUUCCUUGGUCGUCACGCUCGAUCCGCACACAUCAUAGCAGGAGAAACAAAUGAAAAGACAAAACAAAACAAAAUGAAAAUAAAUGGACGUCUGCUAUCUGUGCCUAAAUUGAUGUUGCUUCUCAGUUUUGCACGACCCAGGGGGGACUUGGCCUUGAUCCCAAUGCUCUGUCACCGAUGUUACGUGAUAUUCGUUAUGGAAUAUUCUUUGUUUGGGGGCCAUUCAUAAACAAUGUUGUACGUUUUUUUUAAUCCCUGAUCCGCUGAUACGUCUAAAAUUCAUUUUUAGUUUUUAUCUCGUUACGUGACGCUCUUCCCCUAUUGUCAAUAUCCAACAUCAUUUAUGAAUGUCCCAAGGACCUCAUAUCUGUUCAAACAAAAUUUUAUUUUUUUUUGUAGAAAGUUGUAAAUUUUUCAAAGCAAUAACUUACUCUAACUAAACAAACAGCUGUCCAAUAAAGUGUGUUCGUCUCGAGAACCACCGAGGAAGUAGUACGAAUUGGUUCCAUCAAACUGGUUCCAUCCGUCAUGAGUGUUGUUGAUGGCAUGUGAAUGAGCCACAUUCAGCAGCACGAAGAGACACUGCCCAUGUGCUUUAUCAACCAUAUAUUUCAACUCCUCUGAUGUGCCAUAGUGGCUACUGUCAACGAAGAAACUUGUCAUCUGAUGGCCAAAACUGACAUAAUAGGUAUGCUCCAUGAUGACUAUCACCUGAAUGGUGUUGUACUUGAGAUCUUUGAUCCUAGAUACAAUAUUAUCAGCCAAGUUUAUAUAUGUUCCAACACCAAGUUCUUCAGUGGCAAUGGCUACGCGGUAUUCUUAUAUACGGAGCACUAAAAAGCACUAUAAAAGCAAACAAUGACGCUUAUGAUUAUCAUCCCAAUUUACAGCAGUCCAUCAUUCGUGUACAACAUGUUUUUAGUAUUAGGGCUGAAUCAAAUGAUAAUCAUUUGAUGCACUUCAUGCGAUUGCGAGGGAAAUUCGCAGUAAUAACUGUUCGCGAAAAAACGGUCCCGGAUUAAAAAGUAAAGUCGAAAAGUAAGAAACAGACCUAACCUCUAUGAGAACGCGAAGAUGUCUUCCCAUCGGAGUGUUUAUAGAUUAUCCCCAAUUCCGGUUUCAACAAACCUGUGCCAAACAACAGAUCUACUCGUCGUGCUUCAAUUUCUACUUGUGAGUCUUGAUGAAACGUGAAAAUUAUGCUAGCAAUCACGAGUUACUUUAGAACAGUAAGCAGGUUUGCAUCACCUUACUCACAGUUAUCGUCAAUUUCAUGUUUUUACCGGUUAAUCAGAGUUGUGCAGCGCAAAACCUUCCCGAACAGCUGAAGCGCACACGUUUACUUGCACCGAGCUGAUUUCGCUACUUAAGGUUGCACAGAGAAUGCGCAAAAUUCGCAAACGAAAAAAGCAUUUUUUUUCCACA
Molecule: long non-coding RNA, 9892 nt
Organism: Topomyia yanbarensis
Lineage: Eukaryota; Metazoa; Arthropoda; Insecta; Diptera; Culicidae
Exons: 3
Source: RefSeq, a predicted model, not a curated record